UACGGGGGGGGCAAGCGUUGUUCGGAAUUACUGGGCGUAAAGGGUUUGUAGGUGGCUUAUUAAGUCAGACGUGAAAUCCCUCAGCUUAACUGGGGAGCUGCGUCUGAUACUGGUUGGCUCGAGUGCAGGAGAGGAACGCGGAAUUCCAGGUGUAGCGGUGAAAUGCGUAGAUAUCUGGAGGAACACCGGUGGCGAAGGCGGCGUUCUGGACUGCAACUGACACUGAAAAACGAAAGCCAGGGGAGCAAACGGG
RNAcentral lists this ribosomal RNA (253 nucleotides) under uncultured bacterium. Its description in RNAcentral is "partial 16S ribosomal RNA". It matches the Rfam family "Bacterial small subunit ribosomal RNA", at positions 524 to 776 of the family's 1533-position model. The record is from RNAcentral.